RNAcentral lists this ribosomal RNA (1119 nucleotides) under Salmonella enterica. Its description in RNAcentral is "bacterial LSU rRNA". It matches the Rfam family "Bacterial large subunit ribosomal RNA", at positions 140 to 1298 of the family's 2925-position model. The record is from RNAcentral. Lineage: Bacteria; Pseudomonadati; Pseudomonadota; Gammaproteobacteria; Enterobacterales; Enterobacteriaceae.
UCGUCACACUAUCAUUAACUGAAUCCAUAGGUUAAUGAGGCGAACCGGGGGAACUGAAACAUCUAAGUACCCCGAGGAAAAGAAAUCAACCGAGAUUCCCCCAGUAGCGGCGAGCGAACGGGGAGGAGCCCAGAGCCUGAAUCAGCAUGUGUGUUAGUGGAAGCGUCUGGAAAGGCGCGCGAUACAGGGUGACAGCCCCGUACACAAAAGCGCAUGUGCUGUGAGCUCGAUGAGUAGGGCGGGACACGUGAUAUCCUGUCUGAAUAUGGGGGGACCAUCCUCCAAGGCUAAAUACUCCUGACUGACCGAUAGUGAACCAGUACCGUGAGGGAAAGGCGAAAAGAACCCCGGCGAGGGGAGUGAAAAAGAACCUGAAACCGUGUACGUACAAGCAGUGGGAGCACCCUUCGGGGUGUGACUGCGUACCUUUUGUAUAAUGGGUCAGCGACUUAUAUUCUGUAGCAAGGUUAACCGAAUAGGGGAGCCGGAGGGAAACCGAGUCUUAACCGGGCGUUAAGUUGCAGGGUAUAGACCCGAAACCCGGUGAUCUAGCCAUGGGCAGGUUGAAGGUUGGGUAACACUAACUGGAGGACCGAACCGACUAAUGUUGAAAAAUUAGCGGAUGACCUGUGGCUGGGGGUGAAAGGCCAAUCAAACCGGGAGAUAGCUGGUUCUCCCCGAAAGCUAUUUAGGUAGCGCCUCGUGAAUUCAUCUCCGGGGGUAGAGCACUGUUUCGGCUAGGGGGCCAUCCCGGCUUACCAACCCGAUGCAAACUGCGAAUACCGGAGAAUGUUAUCACGGGAGACACACGGCGGGUGCUAACGUCCGUCGUGAAGAGGGAAACAACCCAGACCGCCAGCUAAGGUCCCAAAGUCAUGGUUAAGUGGGAAACGAUGUGGGAAGGCCCAGACAGCCAGGAUGUUGGCUUAGAAGCAGCCAUCAUUUAAAGAAAGCGUAAUAGCUCACUGGUCGAGUCGGCCUGCGCGGAAGAUGUAACGGGGCUAAACCAUGCACCGAAGCUGCGGCAGCGACACUGUGUGUUGUUGGGUAGGGGAGCGUUCUGUAAGCCUGUGAAGGUGUGUCGUGAGGCAUGCUGGAGGUAUCAGAAGUGCGAAUGCU